This is a long non-coding RNA of Nymphaea colorata (pocket water lily), 454 nucleotides long. RefSeq lists it as uncharacterized. Lineage: Eukaryota; Viridiplantae; Streptophyta; Magnoliopsida; Nymphaeales; Nymphaeaceae. The record is from RefSeq and is a predicted model, not a curated record. The transcript is spliced from 3 exons.
ACAGAAGAGUAUAGAAGUGUGGCUAGAUUUGGGUUCAAAACAUACUUCAGUUCUAUCUCUCCUGUAGUGGCUCACACGGAUCUGGACAAAUAUUUGAUUGAUCCAAUGGAAGAAAUUGCACAUAAUGGAGACUUCAACAUAUUAUCUUGGUGGAAGACAAAUGAAAGUAAAUAUAAAAUUGUAGCCAAAAUGGCUCGAGAUGUAUUAGCCAUUCCUGUAUCUACAGUUGCUUCAGAAUCUGCAUUCAGUAUAGCAGGAAGAAUUCUUAAUGAUUAUCGAUGCUCAACUACUCCUGAAAAUGUGGAAUCAUUAAUCUGCACACAGAGUUGGAUUCGUGAUGCACACAACUUGGGUGAAAGUUCUCAUGAUGCAGAGCACCAUUCAGACGAGGAAAGUUAAUCCAAUGCAUGAUUAUCAUGAUGGACAUUUCAAGGUUGGUGACGGACUUUGAAGA